This 955-nucleotide non-coding RNA is filed under the name Acanthodoras spinosissimus. RNAcentral's name for it is "partial 12S ribosomal RNA". It matches the Rfam family "Bacterial small subunit ribosomal RNA". The record is from RNAcentral. Lineage: Eukaryota; Metazoa; Chordata; Actinopteri; Siluriformes; Doradidae.
CAAAGGCUUGGUCCUGACUUUACCAUCAGCUUUGGCCCAAUUUAUACAUGCAAGUAUCCGCAUCCCUGUGAGAAUGCCCUCAAUCCCCCGUCCGGGGACGAGGAGCAGGCAUCAGGCACAUUACUUAUUAGCCCAAGACGCCUUGCUAUGCCACUCCCCCAAGGGAUUUCAGCAGUAACAGACAUUAAGCAAUGAGUGUAAACUCGACUUAGUUACGGCCAUGAGGGUCGGUAAAAUUCGUGCCAGCCACCGCGGUUAUACGAAAGACCCUAGUUGAUAGAUGUCGGCGUAAAGGGUGGUUAAGGGACAUAAAAAAUAAAGCUAAAGACCCUCUAGGCUGUCAUACGCUCUCCGAAGAAACGAAACCCUAAGACGAAAGUAGCUUUAAACAUACCCCUGACACCACGAAAGCUGAGAAACAAACUGGGAUUAGAUACCCCACUAUGCUCAGCCAUAAACCCAGAUGUACUCUUACAUAUACAUCCGCCCGGGCACUACGAGCACAGCUUAAAACCCAAAGGACUUGGCGGUGUCUCAGACCCACCUAGAGGAGCCUGUUCUAGAACCGAUAACCCUCGUUAAACCUCACCACUCCUUGUCUUCCCCGCCUAUAUACCGCCGUCGUCAGCUUACCCUGUGAAGGCUUAAUAGUAAGCAAAAUGGGCAUGCCCAAAAACGUCAGGUCGAGGUGUAGCGUACGGAGUGGGAAGAAAUGGGCUACAUUUUCUAUUUCAAAGAAUAUUACGGAUGGUAUCAUGAAACAGAUGCCUGAAGGUGGAUUUAGUAGUAAAAAGAAAACAGAGUGUACUUUUGAAUUAGGCUCUGAGACGCGCACACACCGCCCGUCACUCUCCCCUCGUACAUACCACAACCUAACAUAAUUAAUAACACAUACACCAACGUCGGGGAGGCAAGCGUAACAUGGUAAGUGUACCGGAAGGUGCACUUGGAAUAA